UACGUAGGGUGCAAGCGUUAAUCGGAAUUACUGGGCGUAAAGCGUGCGCAGGCGGUGAUGUAAGACAGAUGUGAAAUCCCCGGGCUUAACCUGGGAACUGCAUUGGUGACUGGCGGGCUAGAGUAUGGCAGAGGGGGGUAGAAUUCCACGUGUAGCAGUGAAAUGCGUAGAGAUGUGGAGGAAUACCGAUGGCGAAGGCAGCCCCCUGGGCCAAUACUGACGCUCAUGCACGAAAGCGUGGGGAGCAAACAGG
RNAcentral lists this ribosomal RNA (253 nucleotides) under uncultured bacterium. Its description in RNAcentral is "partial 16S ribosomal RNA". It matches the Rfam family "Bacterial small subunit ribosomal RNA", at positions 524 to 776 of the family's 1533-position model. The record is from RNAcentral.